GAUGAACGCUAGCUACAGGCUUAACACAUGCAAGUCGAGGGGAAACGAUAUUGGAAGCUUGCUUCUGAUAGGCGUCGACCGGCGCACGGGUGAGUAACGCGUAUCCAACCUGCCCAUCACUUGGGGAUAACCUUGUGAAAGUAAGACUAAUACCCAAUGACGUCUCUAGAAGACAUCUGAAAGAGAUUAAAGAUUUAUCGGUGAUGGAUGGGGAUGCGUCUGAUUAGCUUGUUGGCGGGGUAACGGCCCACCAAGGCGACGAUCAGUAGGGGUUCUGAGAGGAAGGUCCCCCACAUUGGAACUGAGACACGGUCCAAACUCCUACGGGAGCAGCAGUGAGGAAUAUUGGUCAAUGGACCGAGAGUCUGAACCAGCCAAGUAGCGUGCAGGAUGACGGCCCUAUGGGUUGUAAACUGCUUUUAUAAGGGAAUAAAGUGGGAGUCGUGACUCUUUUUGCAUGUACCUUAUGAAUAAGGACCGGCUAAUUCCGUGCCAGCAGCCG
RNAcentral lists this ribosomal RNA (502 nucleotides) under uncultured bacterium. RNAcentral's name for it is "bacterial SSU rRNA". It matches the Rfam family "Bacterial small subunit ribosomal RNA", at positions 28 to 517 of the family's 1533-position model. The record is from RNAcentral.